GUGAGGAAUAUUGGUCAAUGGGCGAGAGCCUGAACCAGCCAAGUCGCGUGAAGGAAGAAGGAUCUAUGGUUCGUAAACUUCUUUUGCAGGGGAAUAAAGUGCGGGACGUGUCCUGUUUUGUAUGUACCCUGAGAAUAAGGAUCGGCUAACUCCGUGCCAGCAGCCGCGGUAAUACGGAGGAUCCGAGCGUUAUCCGGAUUUAUUGGGUUUAAAGGGUGAGUAGGUGGUUUGAUAAGUCAGCGGUGAAAGUUUGCAGCUUAACUGUAAAAAUGCCGUUGAAACUGUCGGACUUGAGUGUAAAUGAGGUAGGCGGAAUGCGUGGUGUAGCGGUGAAAUGCAUAGAUAUCACGCAGAACUCCGAUUGCGAAGGCAGCUUACUAAGCUACAACUGACACUGAAGCACGAAAGCGUGGGGAUCAAACAGGAUUAGAAACCCUAGUAGUCC
RNAcentral lists this ribosomal RNA (445 nucleotides) under uncultured bacterium. RNAcentral's name for it is "partial 16S ribosomal RNA". It matches the Rfam family "Bacterial small subunit ribosomal RNA", at positions 354 to 796 of the family's 1533-position model. The record is from RNAcentral.